Molecule: ribosomal RNA, 577 nt
Filed under: uncultured soil bacterium
Lineage: Bacteria
Description: bacterial SSU rRNA
Rfam family: Bacterial small subunit ribosomal RNA
Source: RNAcentral
GCUGGCGGCAUGCUUAACACACGCAAGUCNCGGUAACGCGAGGGGAAACCCUGGCGANGAGUGGCGGACGGGUGAGUAAUGCUUAGGAAUCUGCCCAGUAGUGGGGGACAACCCGGGGAAACCCGGGCUAAUACCGCAUACGCCCCAUGGGGGAAAGCGGAGGACCUUCGGGCUUCGCGCUAUUGGGUGAGCCUAAGUCGGAUUAGCUAGUUGGUAGGGUAAUGGCCUACCAAGGCGACGAUCCGUAGCUGGUCUGAAAGGACGAUCAGCCACACUGGGACUGAGACACGGCCCAGACUCCUACGGGAGGCAGCAGUGGGGAAUAUUGGACAAUGGGCGAAAGCCUGAUCCAGCAAUGCCGCGUGUGUGAAGAAGGCCUGCGGGUUGUAAAGCACUUUCAGUGGGGAAGAAAAGUGCAGCGCUAACAUCGCUGCAUCUUGACGUUACUCACAGAAGAAGCACCGGCUAACUCCGUGCCAGCAGCCGCGGUAAUACGGAGGGUGCGAGCGUUAAUCGGAAUUACUGGGCGUAAAGCGCACGUAGGCGGUCAGGCAAGUCGGGUGUGAAAGCCCUGGGC